This 525-nucleotide ribosomal RNA is filed under the name Fusarium torulosum. Its description in RNAcentral is "eukaryotic LSU rRNA". The stretch from base 157 to 310 matches the Rfam family "5.8S ribosomal RNA". Lineage: Eukaryota; Fungi; Ascomycota; Sordariomycetes; Hypocreales; Nectriaceae. The record is from RNAcentral.
CAUUACCGAGUUUACAACUCCCAAACCCCUGUGAACAUACCUUAAUGUUGCCUCGGCGGAUCAGCCCGCGCCCCGUAAAACGGGACGGCCCGCCAGAGGACCCAAACUCUAAUGUUUCUUAUUGUAACUUCUGAGUAAAACAAACAAAUAAAUCAAAACUUUCAACAACGGAUCUCUUGGUUCUGGCAUCGAUGAAGAACGCAGCAAAAUGCGAUAAGUAAUGUGAAUUGCAGAAUUCAGUGAAUCAUCGAAUCUUUGAACGCACAUUGCGCCCGCUGGUAUUCCGGCGGGCAUGCCUGUUCGAGCGUCAUUUCAACCUUCAAGCCCCCGGGUUUGGUGUUGGGGAUCGGCUCUGCCUUCUGGCGGCGCCGCCCCCGAAAUACAUUGGCGGUCUCGCUGCAGCCUCCAUUGCGUAGUAGCUAACACCUCGCAACUGGAACGCGGCGCGGCCAUGCCGUAAAACCCCAACUUCUGAAUGUUGACCUCGGAUCAGGUAGGAAUACCCGCUGAACUUAAGCAUAUCAA